AUCCUUUGGUUCAUGAGCAUGAUGAUUGGAUGUUCAUGACGUAUACAUGAGAUGUGCCUCCCUCAAACCUUUUACAACAUUGUCAUGUUAUCUAUCUGACA
This is a small nucleolar RNA of Cavia porcellus (domestic guinea pig), 101 nucleotides long. RefSeq annotates it as small nucleolar RNA U13. The transcript has a single exon. The record is from RefSeq and is a predicted model, not a curated record. Lineage: Eukaryota; Metazoa; Chordata; Mammalia; Rodentia; Caviidae.